RNAcentral lists this unclassified non-coding RNA (245 nucleotides) under Hevea brasiliensis (rubber tree). Lineage: Eukaryota; Viridiplantae; Streptophyta; Magnoliopsida; Malpighiales; Euphorbiaceae. The record is from RNAcentral.
GGCAAAGCUUCUCUCAUAAAGCUGUGAGUUUUCAUCAAAUCAUUAGAAUGAGUUCUCAGAAUUAUGAUAUUCUUCUGUGUUUGGUUAGAAUGCGAAUGCCCAUGCUCACAAUAUUUUAGUUCUGGUGCAUAGGUUUCAUGAUAUUAUGAUCCCUUCUGAACUUUCUAUGAUUUUCUAUGAUUUUAAGUGAGAUGGUGACUGAAAAUUGUGAAUGAAAACAGGAAGAGCAGGCUUCUUUCUUGUCA